CCUACGGGUGGCUGCAGUGGGGAAUCUUGGACAAUGGGCGCAAGCCUGAUCCAGCCAUGCCGCGUGGAUGAUGAAGGCCCUAGGGUUGUAAAAUCCUUUCGUUGGGGACGAUAAUGACGGUACCCAAAGAAGAAGCUCCGGCUAACUUCGUGCCAGCAGCCGCGGUAAUACGAAGGGGGCUAGCGUUGUUCGGAUUUACUGGGCGUAAAGCGCGUGUAGGCGGACUUGUAAGUUGGGGGUGAAAUCCCGAGGCUCAACCUCGGAACUGCCUCCAAAACUACAAGUCUGGAGCAAGAUAGAGGCAAGUGGAAUUGCGAGUGUAGAGGUGAAAUUCGUAGAUAUUCGCAGGAACACCAGUGGCGAAGGCGACUUGCUGGAUCUUUGCUGACGCUGAGACGCGAAAGCGUGGGGAGCAAACAGGAUUAGAUACCCUAGUAGUC
RNAcentral lists this ribosomal RNA (440 nucleotides) under uncultured bacterium. Its description in RNAcentral is "partial 16S ribosomal RNA". It matches the Rfam family "Bacterial small subunit ribosomal RNA", at positions 338 to 795 of the family's 1533-position model. The record is from RNAcentral.